This 449-nucleotide ribosomal RNA is filed under the name uncultured bacterium. RNAcentral's name for it is "bacterial SSU rRNA". It matches the Rfam family "Bacterial small subunit ribosomal RNA", at positions 355 to 825 of the family's 1533-position model. The record is from RNAcentral.
UGGGGAAUUUUCUGCAAUGGGCGAAAGCCUGACAGAGCAAUACCGCGUGAGGGAUGAAGGCCUAUGGGUUGUAAACCUCUUUUCUCAAGGAGGAAGAUAUGACGUUACUUGAGGAAUAAGCAUCGGCUAACCCUGUGCCAGCAGCCGCGGUAAUACAGGGGAUGCAAGUGUUAUCCGGAAUCAUUGGGCGUAAAGCGUCUGCAGGUUGACUUUUAAGUCUUUUGUUAAAGCUCUGGGCUUAACCUAGAAUAUGCAAAGGAAACUAUUUGUCUUGAGUAUGGUAGAGGUAAAGGGAAUUUCCAGUGGAGCGGUGAAAUGCUUAGAUAUUGGAAAGAACACCAACAGCGAAGGCACUUUACUGGGCCAGUACUGACACUGAGAGACGAAAGCUAGGGGAGCAAACGGGAUUAGAUACCCCCGUAGUCCCUGAGCGGGCUGGCAAGGCGCAU